GCAGCAGGACCAGAAACUCCGUCAGCAGCAGGGCCAGAAACUCCGUCAGCAGCAGCACCAACACCACCAUCAACUACCUCUGGUUAUUCGAGUAACUUUCAGGCUGCUUCAAAUCCAUUCCAGAGUACGUCCGGACCUGCAACUGAGUCUCCGGUUGCUCCAGCAGCGUCAAGCUCCAGCGCUCCAACAUCCCAGAGUCCGGCGGCUCCAAGCCCGUUUCAGAGUGCCCCGGUAACUAGUGCUCCGGAAACUCAAAGCUCGUUCUCACAGACGCCACCUCCGCCAAGCGCUCCACAAACUCCAAGCCCGUUCCAAUCACCUCCAGCAACUCCAGGUCCGUUCCAAACACCUCCGGCAACUUCAAGUCCGUUCCAAACACCUCCGGCAACUCCAGGCCCGUUCUCAAGUCCUCCGGCAUCUCGAAGCCCGUUCCAGAGCUCUCCGGCAAUGUCAAGCUCGUUCCCGGGCACUCCAGCGGCUCCUCCAAGUCCGUUUCAGAGCACUCCAGCGCCGCCAAAUACGACUACUCCACCGGCCUUCCAAAGCGCACCGUUCCAGAGCCCACCAGCGUCUCCACCAAGUGGAAGCCAGUUCCAGAGCCCACCACCACCAAGUGAGUUUCAGAAAGCCCCGCCUCCUUUUGGCACGCCAACACCGUCACCAUCGGCUGGAAGUCCAUUCCAACGCGCUCCACCAAGUCCGUUCCAGAGCGCUCCGCCACCACCAUCGUCUGGAAGUCCCGCUCCACCAUCACCUGGAAGUCCCUUCCAAAACGCUCCACCAUCACCCGGGAGUCUGCCACCGCCCGGAAGUCCAUUCCAAAGCGCUUCACCACCACCAUCGCCGCCUCACUUCCAGCGUAGUCCAUACAGCCAGGGAGGAUACCAGCAAAGCUCUCCACCGCCACCUUA
This 911-nucleotide long non-coding RNA is filed under the name Selaginella moellendorffii. Its description in RNAcentral is "long non-coding RNA (SMOE_LNC000320)". Lineage: Eukaryota; Viridiplantae; Streptophyta; Lycopodiopsida; Selaginellales; Selaginellaceae. The record is from RNAcentral.